GAUUUCUCUCUCUCUCCCUCGCUCGCCCGCUCACUCUGAACCCCCUUCUACCCCCACCUCCUUCUCUCUCUCACUCAUUCUCCAUCUCUCUCUCUCACACACACACACACUCUCUCUCUCCAAACACUCUCUCUCUCCUCCUCUGCCUCUCUCUCUCCCUGUCUGUCUGUCUCUCCCUCCCUCGGCUUCACUCGCUCUUGUGCUGUAAGUUCAUUUGCUGUGUCAAGCAACAACUGGCUCGGGAGUGGGCAUUGGGUUUUGAUCCUUUUGUCAAGCGUCCCCUCUGCGAUGUGUACCGCAUCCACCUGCACACCACGGGACUGGCCGCCUGGCUCUCUCUAACGUUGCCGUACCGUCCUGGGUUUAUCACGAUUGGGCAUCCCACCUUGCUGAAACGGGUGGUACAAUGAGAUGCUGAAGGUUUGACGGGGUGAACCUGCUACUGUGGACUAUCACCAUCAUCAUCAGAAUCAUCACAGUGGCAAUGGGAGUCAGGACAUGGACACUCGCUGGAGGACCUCCGCAGGGUCCAUGCAUCCCAGACGAGCCGUUGAGAAGCCCUUGCCUUGCGCUACAAAGCGUCUUCAAUCAAUUGUUUUGAAAAGGCCUUUCCGUUUUCUGACGAUGCCGGCGGUUCUGUUGUUUCUCUCUGUAAAAGACUCUCUUCGGUGACGGGUAUUCUUGGGUGGAUAAUACGGCUCUCGUUGUUAUUGCUUAAGAAUACGCGUAGUCGAGGAGAGUCAUGUCGGCGGCGACUGCAAUGGACUAGAGAGAGCGUUGAAUCCAGAAGGCCCAUCUGCCUGCACACACACAUGCGUUUGCUAACGCCGAGGUUCACGCCCACAUCCAUUUAUUGAGUCAGCGAAGCUGCAUUUCCUGUCUGUGUGUGAUGCUUGUGCUGUUGAUUUAUCCGGCUACUCCUGCUACACAUCUUUUCAGCCAGCGGAAAGGAAAAACUGGGGGUUUUUUGAUUCGCCGUCUUCCCCCCAAAGGCUGUAUAUUGUAACGUCUCAGGCGGAGUUGUAGAUGCAAAUGUGUUCGGUUUGUGCCAUAUAUAUACAUUCUUUUCUCAGGACCGCACACACUCUACCUUUUUAAUGCAAAUUGAUUUUGAAAUGACAUUUAUCGUGCAGGGUUUCCAUAUGGAGCUCCAGGAGGGAUGCAAGGGGAAAAAAUGGAAUGAAAUGUCCACGAAGCCACUGAGAGCUAAAUUUAUGCGGAUUGUAAAGGAACACACUGCAGAUAAACAGUUACCAUGGCUUUAGAUUGACUGCGGCGUGGCAUGCGUAUAUCAUGAAUAUGUAUCAGGAGAGCAUAUGAUGCUGCAUUCUAACCUCCAUGAAAUCCAUUUAGGAAACCUAACAGGAUCUACUUGACUUAUGAAAGCUUAUGAUCAAAUCUUAUAAAUAUCCAUGAGAUAGUUUCAUGUGAAAAAAGUAUUUUUUUGCCUUUUAUAUAGAUGUAUUUUGCAUACUAAAAGAUUGCAUUUCGGACCGGCUGUUGAUUUGUUGACGUGGACGAUUUGUAAAUCUGCAAACAUUUUAAUUUGUUCUCCAUUAUCAUUCGGCAGAUUUAAGUGAUGUAUUAGCAUUUCAGAUAGACUAAAGGCAACAAUCAGCCCGCUCUGUCCUUGAUCACCCUGUAAUUAUCGUUCUUUCGGCUAUGUGUUUAAAUGUGCAGAGAGAAAAGAGGUGUGGAGGAGGAAUAAUGUAAUGUUUUACCACUAGGGGACCCACACAACUGAAAAUCAGAUCAGUUGGUUAACUUUUUAAGUCAUUUUUAUGAUCAUUUUUAAGGUGUUUGGGGUGCAUAGGUUCAAAACUAAUAGAAAUAUCUGUUUAGAUGAAUACUAUUAGAUUUAACAGGUUUUGGCUAUUUAAAAAAAAAAUGUUUUUUAUUCUUAGCAUGUACACUUAAAAUAUAUGGCGUUUUAUUUAUUCCUUUAUUACUUAAUGCUCAACAGUGCCUUAGGAGUGACAAUUGUGAGAAGGGUCACAUGCAACCUUAACAAUUGUCUGUUAUAUUGUCUUAGAUUAACACAUUAAUAUUUUUUUUUUUCACUAAAUAUUCUACCCUCUCAUAGUUUGUGAUGUCUGAAGCAUAUUGAUAGAAUUUCUCUCUGAAAUCAUUUUUAUUGAUGCUGUUGAGUAAAUAUCUCGCUGUAAACUCCUCGCACAGAUUAGCUUCCAUCUGUCUGUGGUUUAUGACGAGAUGAAAUUAUUCAGGCCUCUGCAGCUCAUCUUCAUUUGUUCUUUAUUGAAAUUAUUUUUAUGUGCACGUCAUCUUUGUUCCUCCCCCUCAUAUCAUAAAUAAAGCUUGAUUUAAGUAAAA
This is a long non-coding RNA of Cyprinus carpio carpio, 2331 nucleotides long. The record is from Ensembl. NCBI's taxonomy places the organism in Eukaryota, Metazoa, Chordata, Actinopteri, Cypriniformes, Cyprinidae.